GACGAACCGUGCGAACGUUGUUCGGAAUCACUGGGCUUAAAGGGCGCGUAGGCGGCUUGCCAAGUCAGUGGUGAAAUCCUGCAGCUUAACUGUAGAAGUGCCUUUGAUACUGGCAAGCUCGAGGGAGGUAGGGGUCUGUGGAACUUCUGGUGGAGCGGUGAAAUGCGUUGAUAUCAGAAGGAACGCCGGUGGCGAAAGCGACGGACUGGAUCUCUUCUGACGCUGAGGCGCGAAAGCUAGGGGAGCAAACGGG
RNAcentral lists this ribosomal RNA (253 nucleotides) under uncultured bacterium. Its description in RNAcentral is "partial 16S ribosomal RNA". It matches the Rfam family "Bacterial small subunit ribosomal RNA", at positions 524 to 776 of the family's 1533-position model. The record is from RNAcentral.